AAUCAAUAGUCGCCGCAGCGUGCAUAACGCGUUACGAUCGAAUCCGCUUUCGUCCCCGACCUGGAAGGAAUAAAGCACGCACACCUCCAAACGGAGGCAGCGACCGCGCCAAAGCGCCGUCCCAAUCCACACCGCCCUUCUAAACUGAAGCUGCGGCAGCAGCUGCCAAGAAAGGAAGCUCCCGGAAGCGCGAGGCGGCGAAGGGGAGAAUCGAAGAGCCAAGGAGGCAAGCGAAGGGAGCCGACGGCGGAGACAUGUGCCUCGUGCUGGUGUGCGACGAGCCGGAGCGCGUGGUGGCCACGUUUCAGGCGCCCGGGCGGUGCCCCUACUGCGGCGGCGGCGUGGUGGCGGCGGACGUCGAGAGCGCGCCGCGGCUCUGCUACGUCCCACUCUGCUUCCGCAUCCGCCGCCGCUUCUACUGCUCCCUCUGCUCCCGCCGCCUCGUCUCCGUCGCCUGAUCGACCGAGGCCGACCAAGCUUCGCGCGAGUGCUCUGCCCGCGUGCUAUGGAGUAAGCAAGGCGUGUCGAAUUCCGCAUGUACUAGAACCUUCUUAAGAAAUCAUGGCAUACUUGGACUUUUACUAGUACGAUCUACCAUAAUCCUUGUAUUCGUGUAUGUAUUGAUGAAUGAAAUCGGCGCGAAUAACAGCCGAGCGAGGAUGA
Molecule: long non-coding RNA, 663 nt
Organism: Panicum virgatum (switchgrass)
Lineage: Eukaryota; Viridiplantae; Streptophyta; Magnoliopsida; Poales; Poaceae
Exons: 2
Source: RefSeq, a predicted model, not a curated record